GUUAAAACGAAGAAGAGGAAAAGUAUUCAUUAGAAGUAGCAACUACAGAGAGCUGCUGGUGCUGAUAGGCGGCGUUGCUCUAAUGAAGAAGCUCACCUCUGAGUGUCAACCUGAACGAAUAUUCUACUAGGGUUGGUCGAGUGUUAAAAGCACUCGUUAUCAAAAUGUGAUAAGCCUGGCUUGUCCAAGAGGCUGAAUGCAUGUUAUUCAGCGAACAAGGGUGGUACCGUGAAAAGAAUCUUUUCACCCCUUCA
RNAcentral lists this non-coding RNA (254 nucleotides) under Alkalihalophilus pseudofirmus. Its description in RNAcentral is "Bacillus pseudofirmus T-box sequence". It matches the Rfam family "T-box leader". From Rfam's summary of the family: Uncharged tRNA acts as the effector for transcription antitermination of genes in the T-box leader family. T-boxes are found upstream of many aminoacyl-tRNA synthetase genes and some amino acid biosynthetic genes usually in Gram-positive bacteria. The anticodon of a specific tRNA base pairs to a specifier sequence within the T-box motif, and the NCCA acceptor tail of the tRNA base pairs to a conserved bulge in the T-box antiterminator hairpin. The record is from RNAcentral. Lineage: Bacteria; Bacillati; Bacillota; Bacilli; Caryophanales; Bacillaceae.